AACACUGUUAACCUGCGGUACCUGCGGAGGGAUCGUUACCGAGUUAUACAACUCAUCAACCCCUGUGAACUUACCUACAACGUUGCUUCGGCGGGAACAGACGGCCCCGUAAAACGGGCCGCCCCCGCCAGAGGACCCCUAACUCUGUUUUUAUAAUGUUUUUCUGAGUAAACAAGCAAAUAAAUUAAAACUUUCAGCAAUGGAUCU
This 207-nucleotide unclassified non-coding RNA is filed under the name soil metagenome. RNAcentral's name for it is "partial contains 5.8S ribosomal RNA, internal transcribed spacer 2, and large subunit ribosomal RNA". The record is from RNAcentral.